GCCUACCGGAGGCAGCAGUCGAGAAUCUUCGGCAAUGGGCGCAAGCCUGACCGAGCAACGCCGCGUGAGUGAAGAAGGUUUUCGGAUCGUAAAGCUCUGUUGUAAGAGAAGAACGAGUGUGAGAGUGGAAAGUUCACACUGUGACGGUAUCUUACCAGAAAGGGACGGCUAACUACGUGCCAGCAGCCGCGGUC
Molecule: ribosomal RNA, 194 nt
Filed under: uncultured Streptococcus sp.
Lineage: Bacteria; Bacillati; Bacillota; Bacilli; Lactobacillales; Streptococcaceae
Description: partial 16S ribosomal RNA
Rfam family: Bacterial small subunit ribosomal RNA
Source: RNAcentral